RNAcentral lists this ribosomal RNA (2993 nucleotides) under Microcaldota archaeon. RNAcentral describes it as "23S ribosomal RNA". It matches the Rfam family "Archaeal large subunit ribosomal RNA". Lineage: Archaea; Nanobdellati; Microcaldota. The record is from RNAcentral.
AUGCUGUUUAUACUACGCCAUUUAGUGGAUGGCUUGGCUUGUGCCCGCACGGCCACGCGGCAAGCGGCGAAACGCCUUGGGUAGACGCACGCAGUCUUUGAUCCAAGGGUUUGGCGGUGCGCAGUAAUGCGUAAGAACCCCCAGAAAUGAAGCAUCUUAGUACGGGGUGGAAAAGAAAUCAAUUGAGAUUCGGUUAGUAACAGCGAGUGAAAGCCGAAUAGAUCAAGCUGAAUUCCAGUAUAGUAAUAUAUUGGUAGAUGUGGCGGGGAGCAUCCUUUUUAUGAGCCGAAGUCCGAUGGAAAGCGGUACCAUAGCGAGUAACAGUCUCGUAGGUGAAGUUGAAAGGAGCGAUCCAUGAAGAGUAGUGUCCUCUGGGUAGGGGGCAUGAAUAUGGGUGUAACAACAUCCAAAUCUAAAUAUGAGGUGCAAGACCGAUAGCGAAGCAGUAGCGCGAGCGAAAGUUGAAAAGCACUCGGGGACGAGUGUGAAAAGAUCCUGAAACUAGAUGGUUACAGCAGGACAGGGCAUGAAAGCGUAGGCUUAUGGAAGCGACUUUGGGAGACUGGAGGAGCGACAUAAGUUAAGCAGUGUUCUGUCUUUCUUCUCGAAGCAAGAGCCAGGGAGUUAUUUGGUGUGGCGAGAUGAGAUUCGAAGCGAAAGCAAGUACCCGCAGCGUAGCAAUACGUGAGGGGUGUCGUCGUAACUGGCGAUCAGUCACACCGUUUAGACCCGAAGCCGUUGUGAUCUACGCCUGAGCAGGGCGAAGUCAACCUGACGGUUGAUGGAGGCCCGCAACUAGUGGUGGUAUAUUCCCCUUAGGUGACUUGGGUGUAGGGGUGAUAGUCCUGUCGAACACGGCAAUAGCGAGUUCCCCCUGAAGUGUGUCUCAGCACAGCGUCUCCGGAGAAGGAUAUAGGGGUAGAGCACUGAUUAGGUGGAUUGGUUCCGAAAGGAAUCGCCAUCUUCUCAAACUCCGAAUACUAUAUCUUCGUAGAUGGAGGCAGUGGCGGUAUCCGAGUAAGUCUGGUAUCGUUUACGGGAACGACCGUACGUAAGGUUAAGGGCCCUAAAUGCUGACUAAGUGUUAAUCUGUAAAGGAAACUCCUCUCAAAAACAGUGGGGAGGUAGGCUCAGAAGCAGCCAUCCUUCAAACAACGCGUAAUAGCGGACCCACCGAGAGCGCAGUUUCUGAAAAUUCACGGGGCUAAGUCAGCUUCCGAUACCUUACCAGCGCCAAAAGCGUGUGAUUAAGGGGGCGAACGGGUUGCUUAGAAGCAUGGUCGUGAGAUCAUGUGGAGCGGCCUGUUAUGAAUAUCCUGGUGUUAGUAGCAGCAUAUCCGGAUGAGAAUUCCGGACACCUUAUAGAGCAAGGUUUCCUCAGCCACGUUCUUCAGCUGAGGGUUAGGCGAUCCUAAGGCUCGCGGUAAUUCCAAAGAGCCGAAAUUAGGGAAACCGGUUAAUAUUCCGGUCCUACAGAGGUAGGUGCAGCAAUGCAAGCCAUUCUCUGACGUUUUUGGAUAAGUGGGGCGUCUUCGGACGUCUGAAGGCAGUAGGUCUGUCGAGUCUCAUUGUGAGGAGAAGCAGAUGAAAGCCGUAGGGGUAAUCCCAUUGAAUCCAGGGACCCAUGAAAAGUGAGAGUGGAACGAUCCUUUGUAUUCGUACCUAGAACCAGUACAGGAAACUUUUUAGAAAAAAGUUUCAUCAAAAAAGUUUCCACUGAGAGGUGCUCUAGCUUAGAAGGCUAAGGUGUGACAGGAUAACCCAGGUAAGGGAACUCGGCAAGAUAGCCCUGUAAGUUUGCAAGAAGGGGCGCCAUAGCAUGAGUAAUGUUGUGGUCUCAGUAACAAGGGGAGUGCGACUGUUUACCAAAAACACAGGUCAUCGCAGAUCCGAAAGGAUGAGUAUGAUGGCUGACGUCUGCUCACUGCCAGUACCUGAAAGCGGAUUUCAAUCUGAAGAAGGGCUGGUAAAGAGCGGGGGUAACUCUGACCCUCUUAAGGUAGCGUAAUACCUCGCCGCUUAAUUGGCGGCUUGCAUGAAUGACGUAACGUCACUCCCACUGUCCCUAUCUGGGACCUGGUGAACUCACUGCCCGGUGAAGAUGCCGGGGACUCCUAAAGGGAAACGAAGACUCCAUGGAGCUUUACUAUAGCCUGAUGUUGUGAUAUGAGAUUUAUUACCAAGAGUAAGUGGGAGCUUUCGAAGCGUAUCUUCCGGGAUACGUGGAGGCGACAAUGUUACACCACUUAAUAGAUUUUAUAUUGCUUACCCGCAAGGGGACAUCGUCAGGUAGAUAGUUUGGCUGGGGCGGUACGCCCUCGAUAAGGAAACAAGGGCGCCCAAUGCUCUGCUCAUUCCGGUCAGAAAUCGGAAAUAGAGGGUUAAAGACAAAUGCAGGGCUGACUGUGUUUCGAAAAGCGUGAAACGCAGAGACGAAAGUCGGGCUUAACGAACCUUGAAAUCCCGUUGUUGAGGAUUCAAGCUGUCAGACAAGCUACCCUGGAGGUAACAGGCUCGUCGCGGGCGAGAGUACACUGCGGCGAUAGUCUGAGUUUCUUUUAACUAUAAGACUACGUCGCGUACGUAUCGACCCCGCGGUUUGGUACAUCGCUGUCGGCUUGGGGUAUCCUGGUCGUGUAGGAGCGACCAAGGGUUGGGUUGUUCAUCCAUUAAAACCCCACAUGAGCUGGGUUCAGUACGUCGCGAGACAGUACGGUAGUAUCUUUUAGGAGUGUUGUUUCUUGAGAGUAAGGCCCCUUGAGUACGAGAGGAACGGGGGGCCGGCGCCACUGGUCUACCGGUUGUGAUUUGCAUUGCCGGGCAGCUACGCGCUGCGUUGAUAAGACCUGAAAGCAUCUAAGGUCGAAGCAACCCUUAAAACGAGGAAACAAAUGCCGCGGAUAACAGAUCCGUUUGAUAGAACGGUAGUGUAAGACGUUAGGUUCGCCGAGCGUUUCAGCUAGCCGUUACUAAUGGCCUAAUUCAUAUGACAA